AAUCUUCAGGGCGGGGUGAAAUUCCCCACCGGCGGUAAAGCCCGCGAGCCUUUUUUGGCUGAUCAGGUGCAAUUCCUGAGCCGACGGUACAGUCCGGAUGAAAGAAGAA
This 109-nucleotide non-coding RNA is filed under the name human gut metagenome. RNAcentral describes it as "FMN riboswitch (RFN element)". It matches the Rfam family "FMN riboswitch aptamer (RFN element)". From Rfam's summary of the family: The RFN element is a highly conserved domain that is found frequently in the 5'-untranslated regions of prokaryotic mRNAs that encode for flavin mononucleotide (FMN) biosynthesis and transport proteins. This element is a metabolite-dependent riboswitch that directly binds FMN in the absence of proteins. In Bacillus subtilis, the riboswitch most likely controls gene expression by causing premature transcription termination within the 5' untranslated region of the ribDEAHT operon and precluding access to the ribosome-binding site of ypaA mRNA. The record is from RNAcentral.